RNAcentral lists this ribosomal RNA (253 nucleotides) under uncultured bacterium. RNAcentral describes it as "partial 16S ribosomal RNA". It matches the Rfam family "Bacterial small subunit ribosomal RNA", at positions 524 to 776 of the family's 1533-position model. The record is from RNAcentral.
UACGUAGGCAGCAAGCGUUGUUCGGAAUUACUGGGCGUAAAGAGUGUGUAGGCGGUGCUCUAAGUCUGUUGUGAAAUCUCCCGGCUUAACCGGGAGGGUGCGGCGGAAACUGGAGUGCUUGAGGGUGGGAGAGGUAAGCGGAAUUCCUGGUGUAGCGGUGAAAUGCGUAGAUAUCAGGAGGAACACCUGUGGUGUAGACAGCUUACUGGACCACUUCUGACGCUGAGGCGCGAAGGCGUGGGGAGCGAACGGG